This 79-nucleotide ribosomal RNA is filed under the name Staphylococcus epidermidis. Its description in RNAcentral is "partial 16S ribosomal RNA". It matches the Rfam family "Bacterial small subunit ribosomal RNA", at positions 1455 to 1533 of the family's 1533-position model. The record is from RNAcentral. Lineage: Bacteria; Bacillati; Bacillota; Bacilli; Caryophanales; Staphylococcaceae.
GUCUAAGGUAAAGUGGAUGAUUGGGGUGAAGUCGUAACAAGGUAGCCGUAUCGGAAGGUGCGGCUGGAUCACCUCCUUU